RNAcentral lists this long non-coding RNA (564 nucleotides) under Capra hircus (goat). RNAcentral describes it as "lncRNA (ENSCHIG00000001289.1)". The record is from RNAcentral. Lineage: Eukaryota; Metazoa; Chordata; Mammalia; Artiodactyla; Bovidae.
GGAGCGGGCUCGGCCGCCCCGCGCCUUUACCUGAGCGGGGCCCGCCCCCCGCGCACCGGUCCCGGCGGGCACCUGGCGGUCGCUGGGGACGCGGCAGAGGGGAGGAGACGCCGCACGGGGCGGGCGUUCCGGGGCCGCCGCCGAACUUUUCUCCGAGAAGUCCCACGUUUGGGGGCCGGAGCGGCAGGGCGGGGAGGGGAGAGCGGAGUUCCUGGAAGGAGCCGCUCGGCGCCGCCGCUGCACAACAUGGCCUCCUCCGCCUCCUCGUCUGCGGCCGGCGCCGAGGGCACCCCUCCUGCGCAGGGUGACUAUGGAUCCUACUAUUCGCAGAGCUCUAGAAAGGUACUUAAAGAAGCCAGUCUGCAGUGGUCAUGUGGGAGAGCACAGGUUCGAGUGGAGGCCGGAGCAGUGGCGAUCUAGCCCUGAUCCUCAUCACACCGAGUGAAUUUGGGGCUUGCUGUUUUCCCCAUUUUGGACGUUUGCUGAUAUGUGCCAUUUUAUUUGAAGAUGGAAGUAAGUGACUUUCACAUAAAUUAAUUGAUGACUAUAUCAGAAUCUUCCAGC